GGGCACCAGUAAAUUUCUUUGAUAUUUGUCAUAAUCAUAGGAGGAAAAAUAGAGGUUUGGAGAAACCAAAGCGAAAAGUACAAUUUACAACCAAAACUGGAAGGGGCAAACAACAAAAGAUAAAUACUUGAUUUUUCAAGCAUACAACAAGAGGAAAUGAGUUUAGAACUGCAUCUAGCAACAUUCUAAGAGUCCAUAUAAUUAUCAUAUUCUCCAGUGCAGAUUUGAUAGGCCGUUAAGGCAUACAGAACAAGAUUAUACAUUCUAUGGUUUGGCAUCUCCAUGAACCCUGAUUAAUUCUUUAUAUCUCAGCACCUUAUGAGACCCCCAACAGCUUCUUUAUGUCAUGCUCGAGACUCAAAGGUGAAGUUGUGGGAUAGUAACGAUCUACAACUUGUCCAUCCUUAUUGACAAGGAAUUUGGCAAAGUUCCAUUGAAUAUCAUCACCAAAAAUUCCCCAUUUGCCAGACUUUAAGAACUUGUACAACAGAGAAGCAUUCUCACCAUUCACUUCCACCUAAUGUCAGCAAAGUAACGAUUAGCAUACAAUUCACAGUAAAAUAAUCUAAUCAAACUUAUAGAUAUAUAAUGCUAAGCGAUCAAGCUGUAAUGAAAUCUUAGCUAUAUGAGGGUACCAUGCAACAAAAUCAGUGUAAACUUCAAUAUUUGAUCUGAACACUUUAGUAAACUACUAUUAUACUUUCUGAUUAACUUUUAGGCCAUAUGGUUAGACAUUAGUGAACUACCACUGACUUUUCAGGGGGUGGCACUUCUGGAUGUUGCUAUGAUAGUAUUAUCACAACUCGAGCUCAUGUGAACAACUGGUCUAACAACAAGGGCGAGAUUGGACCUAUUUACAUGUUCCAAAAGUCAACCCAAGGUAUUGGUAGCAUUUCACCCUUAUAUGGAAAUUACAUCUGAAGUCCCUUUUCAAUGUGGGACUUGAGGUGUCACAUUUACCUUGCCAAAUAUGGGAAAUUCUGAUUUAAAGCGAGUGCAGACAAAUUCUUGAAUCUCAUCGUUACUUCCUGGUUCCUGCUCACCAAAUUGAUUGCAUGGAAAUGCCAAUAUUUCAAGGCCUUGAUCUUUGUACUUCUCAUAUAACUGAUUCAGUUCUGUGUAAUUUGAGUUGGUCAUUCCACAUUUUGAAGCAACAUUAACAAUUAAUAAGACUUUUCCCUUGAAAAUGCUAAGAUCUACAUCAUUUCCAUUAGCAUCCUUGAUAAUGAAAUCAUAGACUGAUUCAGGAUACUUGGGGGGCUGGCUUGCCAUUAAACAAGCAAAAGAUAUAGAGAGGCCAGAGACAAGCGGGUAAUUGGCACCACAGCAAAAUAAAAGAACAGUUGAAGGAAGGGAAAGUUGAAAGAGAACAGAAUAAACAAAUAUGCUGCAAUUGCUUAAAUCGACUUUUGGAAUUGUAAUAUUCCCACACGUGUUUAGUCACAGUGGAUACACUUCUUGUUGGUGAAAGCCCUCCUGCCGUUGGAUUGAUAAUGGAGUCAACUUCUGGCUCCCUUCUCCAAAUAUUUUCAUUAUUAAUUAGGGUUAGGCUCUGGCUCAGUUUUCUCACUAGCGGGUUCAGGAUUGUUUCUAGAUAGAACAAGCGAGAUUAUCCGCGUGUCUUGCAACGGAUCGACACAAUAUAUAUAUAUAUCCCUUCUCCAAAUAUUUUCAUUG
Molecule: unclassified non-coding RNA, 1677 nt
Filed under: Hevea brasiliensis (rubber tree)
Lineage: Eukaryota; Viridiplantae; Streptophyta; Magnoliopsida; Malpighiales; Euphorbiaceae
Source: RNAcentral